UCGCGGCGGCGUGCGCAGAAGGGUCUGGGCUCGAGCCUGCCUGGAGCCGCCGCCGGUGCAGAUCUUGGUGGUAGUAGCAAAUACUCCAGCGAGGCCCUGGAGGACUGAUGUGGAGAAGGGUUUCGUGUGAACAGCCGUUGCACACGAGUCAGUCGAUCCUAAGCCCUAGGAGAAAUCCGACGCCUACGGCGACGGGAUUUUUGAAAAAUUAUGAAACCCGUUGAUCGGGCGAAAGGGAAUCCGGUUCCUAUUCCGGAACCCGGCAGCGGAACCGCUGUUUGUCGGGCCCUCACAAGGGGUUCGUCAGGGUAACCUAAAAGGGCCCGGAGACGCCGUCGGGAGCCCCGGAAAGAGUUUUCUUUUCUGCAUGAGCGUUCGAGUUCCCUGGAAUCCUCUCGCAGGGAGAUAGGGUUUGGAACGCGAAGAGCACCGCAGUUGCGGCGGUGCCCGGGAAUUCCCGACGGACCUUGAAAAUCCGGGAGAGGGCCACGUGGAGGUGUCGCGCCGGCUCGUACCCAUAUCCGCAGCAGGUCUCCAAGGUGAAGAGCCUCUAGUCGAUAGAAUAAUGUAGGUAAGGGAAGUCGGCAAAUCGGAUCCGUAACUUCGGG
Molecule: ribosomal RNA, 608 nt
Filed under: Ischnura senegalensis
Lineage: Eukaryota; Metazoa; Arthropoda; Insecta; Odonata; Coenagrionidae
Also listed under: 1 other name
Description: partial large subunit ribosomal RNA
Rfam family: Eukaryotic large subunit ribosomal RNA
Source: RNAcentral